UUGUGGAGGAGGACGCCGAAGGUGGGGCUAAUGACUGGGGUGAAGUCGUAACAAGGUAGCCGUACCGGAAGGUGCGGCUGGAUCACCUCCUAACAGGGAGACAACAAAAUGUUAAAUAUUAAUUUUGUCACCUUAGGUCGAUCGGUAUCUCACAUUCUUAAUUUAUUAAGGAUUUUAUUUCCUAAGUUUUUUCUAGGUCACACCCAUUACUUUCCCUGGGCCAUUAGCUCAGGUGGUUAGAGCGCACCCCUGAUAAGGGUGAGGUCCCUGGUUCAAGUCCAGGAUGGCCCAUAUCUCUAUGUUGGGGGUAUAGCUCAGUUGGUAGAGCGCCUGCUUUGCAAGCAGGAUGUCAGCGGUUCGAGUCCGCUUACCUCCACUGAUUUCCACCUCUGCCAUAUAUUUAGAAGGGAAAUGUUUUGAGUAGUGAUCAAAUUCUGAACGAAUCUAGCUUCCUAAUUAUUUUUAUUAAGAUGCUGGACUCAUUGAAUAAAUUUCAUUGUUUUCAGAGAACCUUGACAACUGCAUAGAUUAUUUUUAAAGACAAUUAGCAUCUUUAAUGAUGCAGAUUUAUUAUUUGUGCGAAUGCAUUAAUAACAAUUCUAUUAAGCUGAUGCUUCAAUUAUGAAGUUAUUGGUCAAGCUACAA
This 645-nucleotide unclassified non-coding RNA is filed under the name uncultured Prochlorococcus sp. RNAcentral describes it as "partial 16S-23S ribosomal RNA intergenic spacer; may also contain 16S ribosomal RNA and 23S ribosomal RNA". The stretch from base 304 to 376 matches the Rfam family "tRNA". Lineage: Bacteria; Bacillati; Cyanobacteriota; Cyanophyceae; Synechococcales; Prochlorococcaceae. The record is from RNAcentral.